Molecule: ribosomal RNA, 441 nt
Filed under: uncultured bacterium
Lineage: Bacteria
Description: partial 16S ribosomal RNA
Rfam family: Bacterial small subunit ribosomal RNA
Source: RNAcentral
CCUACGGGAGGCAGCAGUGGGGAAUAUUGCACAAUGGGGGGAACCCUGAUGCAGCGACGCCGCGUGAGUGAAGAAGUAUUUCGGUAUGUAAAGCCCUAUCAGCAGGGAAGAAAGAAGACGGUACCUGACUAAGAAGCCCCGGCUAACUACGUGCCAGCAGCCGCGGUAAUACGUAGGGGGCGAGCGUUAUCCGGAUUCACUGGGUGUAAAGGGAGCGUAGACGGCCGUGCAAGCCAGGAGUGAAAGCCCGGGGCCCAACCCCGGGACUGCUCUUGGAACUGUGCGGCUGGAGUGCGGGAGGGGCAGGCGGAAGUCCUGGUGUAGCGGUGAAAUGCGUAGAUAUCAGGAGGAACACCGGCGGCGAAGGCGGCCUGCUGGACCGCGACUGACGUUGAGGCUCGAAAGCGUGGGGAGCGAACAGGAUUAGAUACCCUUGUAGUC